RNAcentral lists this ribosomal RNA (509 nucleotides) under uncultured bacterium. RNAcentral describes it as "partial 16S ribosomal RNA". It matches the Rfam family "Bacterial small subunit ribosomal RNA", at positions 28 to 507 of the family's 1533-position model. The record is from RNAcentral.
GACGAACGCUGGCGGCGUGCUUAACACAUGCAAGUCGAACGAAGAGCGACGGAAGCUUGCUUCUAUCAAUCUUAGUGGCGAACGGGUGAGUAACGCGUAAUCAACCUGCCCUUCAGAGGGGGACAACAGUUGGAAACGACUGCUAAUACCGCAUACGAUCUAACCUCGGCAUCGAGGAUAGAUGAAAGGUGCCCCUAAAAGUAAACCUACAAUGAAGGAGGGGGAUGCGUUCGAUUAGCCAGUUGGAGGGGGAACGGCCCACCAAGGCGAUGAUCAGUAGCCGGUCUGAGAGGAUGAACGGCCACAUUGGGACUGAGACACGGCCCAGACUCCUACGGGAGGCAGCAGUGGGGAAUCUUCCGCAAUGGACGAAAGUCUGACGGAGCAACGCCGCGUGAGUGAUGACGGCCUUCGGGUUGUAAAGCUCUGUUAAUCGGGACGAAAGGCCUUCUUGCGAAUAGUGAGAAGGAUUGACGGUACCGGAAUAGAAAGCCACGGCUAACUACGUG